RNAcentral lists this ribosomal RNA (446 nucleotides) under uncultured bacterium. RNAcentral describes it as "SSU rRNA". It matches the Rfam family "Bacterial small subunit ribosomal RNA", at positions 26 to 518 of the family's 1533-position model. The record is from RNAcentral.
AGAGCGAACGCUGGCGGCAGGCUUAACACAUGCAAGUCGAGCGGGCGUAGCAAUACGUCAGCGGCAGACGGGUGAGUAACGCGUGGGAACGUACCUUUUGGUUCGGAACAACACAGGGAAACUUGUGCUAAUACCGGAUAAGCCCUUACGGGGAAAGAUUUAUCGCCAAAAGAUCGGCCCGCGUCUGAUUAGCUAGUUGGUGAGGUAACGGCUCACCAAGGCGACGAUCAGUAGCUGGUCUGAGAGGAUGAUCAGCCACAUUGGGACUGAGACACGGCCCAAACUCCUACGGGAGGCAGCAGUGGGAAUAUUGGACAAUGGGCGCAAGCCUGAUCCAGCCAUGCCGCGUGAGUGAUGAAGGCCCUAGGUUGUAAAGCUCUUUUGUGCGGGAAGAUAAUGACGGUACCGCAAGAAUAAGCCCCGGCUAACUUCGCGCCAGCAGCCGC